Molecule: transfer RNA, 82 nt
Filed under: Hippoglossus stenolepis (Pacific halibut)
Lineage: Eukaryota; Metazoa; Chordata; Actinopteri; Pleuronectiformes; Pleuronectidae
Description: tRNA-Leu
Rfam family: tRNA
About the family: Transfer RNA (tRNA) molecules are approximately 80 nucleotides in length. Their secondary structure includes four short double-helical elements and three loops (D, anti-codon, and T loops).
Source: RNAcentral
GUCAGAAUGGCCAGCGGUCUAAGGCGCUGCGUUCAGGUCGCAGUCUCCAUUGGAGGCGUGGGUUCAAAUCCCACUUCUGACA